GAUUUUUAGUUAGUAGUGGUUUGAAUAGAACCAAAUAAUAGGAUACUCCUAUAUAUGUCA
This 60-nucleotide transfer RNA is filed under the name Scolytinae sp. BMNH 1040052. RNAcentral describes it as "tRNA-Ile". The record is from RNAcentral. Lineage: Eukaryota; Metazoa; Arthropoda; Insecta; Coleoptera; Curculionidae.